GGCUCUAUGGUGUAAAGGUAACACGGGGCGUUGUCAACGCUCAGUCGCGGGUUCGAUUUCCCGCUGGAGCCGCCA
Molecule: transfer RNA, 75 nt
Filed under: Candidatus Saccharimonadota bacterium
Lineage: Bacteria; Candidatus Saccharimonadota
Description: tRNA-Asp
Rfam family: tRNA
About the family: Transfer RNA (tRNA) molecules are approximately 80 nucleotides in length. Their secondary structure includes four short double-helical elements and three loops (D, anti-codon, and T loops).
Source: RNAcentral